AGUGAACGCUGGCGGUAGGCCUAACACAUGCAAGUCGAACGGCAGCACAGUAAGAGCUUGCUCUUACGGGUGGCGAGUGGCGGACGGGUGAGGAAUACAUCGGAAUCUACUUUUUCGUGGGGGAUAACGUAGGGAAACUUACGCUAAUACCGCAUACGACCUACGGGUGAAAGCAGGGGAUCUUCGGACCUUGCGCGAUUGAAUGAGCCGAUGUCGGAUUAGCUAGUUGGCGGGGUAAAGGCCCACCAAGGCGACGGUCCGUAGCUGGUCUGAGAGGAUGAUCCGCCACACUGGAACUGAGACAGGGUACAGACUCCUACGGGAGGAAACAGUGGGGAAUAUUAGACAAUGGGCGCAAGCCUGAUCCAGCCAUACCGCGUGAGUGAAGAAGGCGUUCGGGUUGUAAAGCCCUUUUGUUGGGAGAGAAAAGCAGCAGGUUAAUACCCCGCUGUUCUGACGGUACCCAAAGAAUAAGCACCGGCUAACUUCGUG
This 492-nucleotide ribosomal RNA is filed under the name uncultured bacterium. RNAcentral describes it as "partial 16S ribosomal RNA". It matches the Rfam family "Bacterial small subunit ribosomal RNA", at positions 29 to 507 of the family's 1533-position model. The record is from RNAcentral.